GCUUAACACAUGCAAGUCGAACGAAGAGCGAUGGAAGCUUGCUUCUAUUCAAUCUUAGUGGCGAACGGGUGAGUAACGCGUAAUCAACCUGCCCUUCAGACGGGGGACAACAGUUGGAAACGACUGCUAAUACCGCAUACGAUCUAAUCUCGGCAUCGAGGAUAGAUGAAAGGUGGCCUCUACAUGUAAGCUAUCACGUGGAGGAGGGGAUUGCGUCUGAUUAGCUAGUUGGAGGGGUAACGGCCCACCAAGGCGAUGAUCAGUAGCCGGUCUGAGAGGAUGAACGGCCACAUUGGGACUGAGACACGGCCCAGACUCCUACGGGAGGCAGCAGUGGGGAAUCUUCCGCAAUGGACGAAAGUCUGACGGAGCAACGCCGCGUGAGUGAUGACGGCCUUCGGGUUGUAAAGCUCUGUUAAUCGGGACGAAAGGCCUUCUUGCGAAUAGUGAGAAGGAUUGACGGUACCGGAAUAGAAAGCCACGGCUAACUAC
RNAcentral lists this ribosomal RNA (492 nucleotides) under uncultured bacterium. RNAcentral describes it as "bacterial SSU rRNA". It matches the Rfam family "Bacterial small subunit ribosomal RNA", at positions 46 to 504 of the family's 1533-position model. The record is from RNAcentral.